UCUAAUAUGGCAGACUAGUGCAUUGAAUUUAAACUUCACUUAUAAAGUUUAUACUUUUUUUAGA
RNAcentral lists this transfer RNA (64 nucleotides) under Thorectes valencianus. RNAcentral's name for it is "tRNA-Leu". Lineage: Eukaryota; Metazoa; Arthropoda; Insecta; Coleoptera; Geotrupidae. The record is from RNAcentral.